AGCUCCAAUAGCGUAUAUUAAAGUUGUUGCAGUUAAAAAGCUCGUAGUUGGAUUUGUGGUGUACUUCGGCGGCCCGUCACUAUGUGAUGGAGCUUGCUGAAGUCGCCAUCCUUGGGUGGAUCCUGUGUGGCAUUAAGUUGUCGUGCAGGGGAUGCCCAUCGUUUACUGUGAAAAAAUUAGAGUGUUCAAAGCAGGCUUAUGCCGUUGAAUAUAUUAGCAUGGAAUAAUAAGAUAGGACCUUGGUACUAUUUUGUUGGUUUGCGCACCAAGGUAAUGAUUAAUAGGGACAGUUGGGGGUAUUCGUAUUUCAUUGUCAGAGGUGAAAUUCUUGGAUUUUUGAAAGACGAACUACUGCGAAAGCAUUUACCAAGGAUGUUU
This 378-nucleotide ribosomal RNA is filed under the name uncultured eukaryote. RNAcentral's name for it is "SSU rRNA". It matches the Rfam family "Eukaryotic small subunit ribosomal RNA", at positions 587 to 969 of the family's 1831-position model. The record is from RNAcentral.